Molecule: long non-coding RNA, 1272 nt
Filed under: Nicotiana tabacum (common tobacco)
Lineage: Eukaryota; Viridiplantae; Streptophyta; Magnoliopsida; Solanales; Solanaceae
Description: long non-coding RNA (NTAB_LNC014152)
Source: RNAcentral
UAGUUUACCCUUUCUUAAAAAUUCUCACUUAGGAGAGUAAGGUGAGAGGACCCCCACUUUCCACCGAGCUUCGAAGACAAAAAUAAUGGAUUUCUCAGUUAUCCAAGCAAUAUAUUUAUAAAAAAUAACUCACUUUUUUGGGUGUAUACCAGCUUGUGCCUAGCUCUUCAGACUCGACAUGUCAGACCGAGGUCAGUAGGUGCAGGGUUUGGGAGCUUUGGAAGUAAGAACCUUGCCUGUUUGGAUGGUGCACGGUUGGUAUGUCAGAUUUUGGUGGAUUGCUGGUUGGUGUCAAUGAGAGAGAAGCUAGUCUACCUAUCUGAUCGGAGAUUUCUCUUACAAAGUUCUGCUACAUGCGAUGAUGAUGAGCAGUUUCCAAAUAUUAAAUGUGUAAGUAAGUGGAUAUCAUGGCAGCAGUUAACAUGUCUUCCUGAAAAUUCUUCAAUGGGAUUUUGCAUGAGAUCAUGGAGUAGUAGUAGUUAUCAGGGGGUAACUAUGGAUGUUGUAUGGAAAUAAGUAUGUGAUUAUGCAUGCAUAUGGUUAUCUCAACUUUUGAUUUGUUUCAAUGUCAACUAGUGGCAAUAUCCUGUCAUGUAUGUUAUUUGAAUUUGUUAUGCUGCUUGUGAUCCAGUUACAAAUUGUUGUUGGAUAAUUAGUGUUCGGUCAUCUGUAUCUUGGUAUGGCAUUUUCCCAAGCUGAGAAUGCCCAAACCUUUUGUUUCGCUAGGCACCCUGUUGUCUUUGUUUCCGGUAUGUGCAUCAUGCCUUUUCGUUCUUCAAUGUUUUAAGUGUCGUAUUCUGGCCUUGAUUUUGCCAGUAGCAAGCAUUGGUUCUCUGUUAUGAUGCUGUAAAUAUCUCCAGUGCUAUCCAAGUUGGGGGCCAACAGUCAGCAAGAUUAACUAGUAUAGUCUGUUAUGAUUCAGUUACAGAUUGUUGUUGGAUAAUUAGUGUUUGGUCAUCUGUAUCUUGGUAUGGCAUUUUCCCAAGCUGAGAGAAUGCCCAAACCUUUUGUUUCGCUAGGCACCCUGUUGUCUUUGUUUCUGGUAUGUGCAUCAUGCCUUUUCGUUCUUCAAUGUUGUGUCGUAUUCUGGCCUUGAUUUUGCCAGUAGCAAACAUUGGCUCUGUUAUGAUGCUGUAAAUAUCUCCAGUGCUAUCCAAGUUCGGGGCCAACAGUCAGCAAGAUUAACUAGUAUAGUCUUAUCCGGUCAAAGGAAAAUCCUUUUCGCUUGAAUUCUCUUUGUAUUAUAUAUUUGCAGUUUUACUAAAAUUGAUU